GACGAAGGGGGCUAGCGUUGUUCGGAAUUACUGGGCGUAAAGCGCGUGUAGGCGGUUAUCCAAGUCGGGUGUGAAAGCCUUGAGCUCAACUCAAGAAAUGCACUCGGUACUGGGUGACUAGAGGACCGGAGAGGAUAGUGGAAUUCCCAGUGUAGUGGUGAAAUACGUAGAGAUUGGGAAGAACACCAGUGGCGAAGGCGGCUAUCUGGACGGUUUCUGACGCUAAGGUGCGAAAGCGUGGGGAGCAAACAGG
This 253-nucleotide ribosomal RNA is filed under the name uncultured bacterium. Its description in RNAcentral is "partial 16S ribosomal RNA". It matches the Rfam family "Bacterial small subunit ribosomal RNA", at positions 524 to 776 of the family's 1533-position model. The record is from RNAcentral.